GAUGAACGCUGGCGGCGUGCCUAAAACAUGCAAGUCGAGCGAACGGACGAGAAGCUUGCUUCUCUGAUGUUAGCGGCGGACGGGUGAGUAACACGUGGAUAACCUACCUAUAAGACUGGGAUAACUUCGGGAAACCGGAGCUAAUACCGGAUAAUAUUUUGAACCGCAUGGUUCAAAAGUGAAAGACGGUCUUGCUGUCACUUAUAGAUGGAUCCGCGCUGCAUUAGCUAGUUGGUAAGGUAACGGCUUACCAAGGCAACGAUGCAUAGCCGACCUGAGAGGGUGAUCGGCCACACUGGAACUGAGACACGGUCCAGACUCCUACGGGAGGCAGCAGUAGGGAAUCUUCCGCAAUGGGCGAAAGCCUGACGGAGCAACGCCGCGUGAGUGAUGAAGGUCUUCGGAUCGUAAAACUCUGUUAUUAGGGAAGAACAUAUGUGUAAGUAACUGUGCACAUCUUGACGGUACCUAAUCAGAAAGCCACGGCUAACUACGUG
This 497-nucleotide ribosomal RNA is filed under the name uncultured bacterium. Its description in RNAcentral is "partial 16S ribosomal RNA". It matches the Rfam family "Bacterial small subunit ribosomal RNA", at positions 28 to 507 of the family's 1533-position model. The record is from RNAcentral.